AGAGUUUGAUCAUGGCUCAGGACGAACGCUGGCGGCGUGCCUAAUACAUGCAAGUCGAGCGCGUGCAGCAAUACACGAGCGGCGGACGGGUGAGUAACGCGUGGGCAACCUGCCCUCUAGCCUGGGAUAACAGCGCGAAAGUGCUGCUAAAACCGGAUAUGCUCACAAGGAGGCAUCUCCUGGUGAGGAAAGUUUACACUAGAGGAUGGGCCCGCGUCCCAUUAGCUAGUUGGUGAGGUAACGGCCCACCAAGGCGACGAUGGGUAGCCGACCUGAGAGGGUGAUCGGCCACACUGGGACUGAGACACGGCCCAGACUCCUACGGGAGGCAGCAGUAGGGAAUUUUCCGCAAUGGGCGAAAGCCUGACGGAGCAACGCCGCGUGAGGGAUGAAGGUCUUCGGAUCGUAAACCUCUGUCUUCAGGGACGAUAAUGACGGUACCUGAGGAGGAAGCCACGGCUAACUACGUGCCAGCAGCCGCGGUAAUACGUAGGUGGCGAGCGUUGUCCGGAAUUACUGGGCGUAAAGGGCGUGUAGGCGGCCUUUUAAGUCAGAUGUGAAAUCUCAGGGCUUAACCCUGAAACUGCAUUUGAAACUGGAGGGCUUGAGGAUCGGAGAGGGCAGUGGAAUUCCCAGUGUGGCGGUGAAAUGCGUAGAUAUUGGGAGGAACACCAGUGGCGAAGGCGACUGCCUGGACGACACCUGACGCUGAGGCGCGAAAGCUAGGGGAGCAAACGGGAUUAGAUACCCCGGUAGUCCUAGCCGUAAACGAUGGGUACUAGGUGUGGGAGGUAUCGACCCCUUCCGUGCCGCAGUUAACACAAUAAGUACCCCGUCUGGGGAGUACGGCCGCAAGGUUGAAACUCAAAUGAAUUGACGG
RNAcentral lists this ribosomal RNA (880 nucleotides) under uncultured bacterium. RNAcentral describes it as "bacterial SSU rRNA". It matches the Rfam family "Bacterial small subunit ribosomal RNA", at positions 8 to 916 of the family's 1533-position model. The record is from RNAcentral.